GGGCUCGCGUACCAUUAGCUUGUUGGUAGGGUAAUGGCCUACCAAGGCGACGAUGGUUAGCUGGUCUGAGAGGAUGAUCAGCCACACUGGAACUGAAACACGGUCCAGACUCCUACGGGAGGCAGCAGUGAGGAAUUUUGCGCAAUGGGGGAAACCCUGACGCAGCAACGCCGCGUGAGUGAAGAAGGCCUUCGGGUCGUAAAGCUCUGUCAAGUGGGGAAUGAUGGUACCACUGGAGGAAGCACCGGCUAACUCCGUGCCAGCAGCCGCGGUAAUACGGAGGGUGCAAGCGUUGUUCGGAAUUACUGGGCGUAAAGAGCGUGUAGGCGGUUUGGCAAGUCAGAUGUGAGAGCCCCGGGCUCAACCCGGGAAGUGCAUUUGAAACUGCCAUACUUGAGUAUGGGAGAGGAGAGUGGAAUUCCCAGUGUAGAGGUGAAAUUCGUAGAU
Molecule: ribosomal RNA, 447 nt
Filed under: uncultured bacterium
Lineage: Bacteria
Description: bacterial SSU rRNA
Rfam family: Bacterial small subunit ribosomal RNA
Source: RNAcentral